RNAcentral lists this ribosomal RNA (433 nucleotides) under uncultured bacterium. RNAcentral's name for it is "bacterial SSU rRNA". It matches the Rfam family "Bacterial small subunit ribosomal RNA", at positions 355 to 796 of the family's 1533-position model. The record is from RNAcentral.
UCGAGGAUCUUCGGCAAUGGGCGCAAGCCUGACCGAGCGACGCCGCGUGUGCGAUGAAGGCCUUCGGGUUGUAAAGCACUGUCGAGGGGGAGGAAGCCCGCAAGGGUUGACCUAUCCCUGGAGGAAGCACGGGCUAAGUUCGUGCCAGCAGCCGCGGUAAGACGAACCGUGCGAACGUUGUUCGGAUUCACUGGGCUUAAAGGGCGCGUAGGCGGCUUGCCAAGUCAGGGGUGAAAUCUUUCGGCUUAACCGGAAAAGUGCUUCUGAUACUGGCAGGCUGGAGGGAGGUAGGGGCAGACGGAACUUCCGGUGGAGCGGUGAAAUGCGUAGAUAUCGGAAGGAACGCCGGUGGCGAAAGCGGUCUGCUGGACCUCUUCUGACGCUGAGGCGCGAAAGCCAGGGGAGCAAACGGGAUUAGAUACCCCCGUAGUCC